Molecule: transfer RNA, 88 nt
Filed under: Candidatus Bathyarchaeota archaeon
Lineage: Archaea; Thermoproteati; Candidatus Bathyarchaeota
Also listed under: 1 other name
Description: tRNA-Leu
Rfam family: tRNA
About the family: Transfer RNA (tRNA) molecules are approximately 80 nucleotides in length.
Source: RNAcentral
GCAGAGGUAGCCAAGCUAGGUCAAAGGCGCAGGCUUCAGGAGCCUGUCGCGAAGGCGUUCGUGGGUUCAAAUCCCACCCUCUGCACCA